Molecule: ribosomal RNA, 420 nt
Filed under: uncultured Cryobacterium sp.
Lineage: Bacteria; Bacillati; Actinomycetota; Actinomycetes; Micrococcales; Microbacteriaceae
Description: bacterial SSU rRNA
Rfam family: Bacterial small subunit ribosomal RNA
Source: RNAcentral
GGAAUAUUGCACAAUGGGCGCAAGCCUGAUGCAGCAACGCCGCGUGAGGGACGACGGCCUUCGGGUUGUAAACCUCUUUUAGUAGGGAAGAAGCGAAAGUGACGGUACCUGCAGAAAAAGCACCGGCUAACUACGUGCCAGCAGCCGCGGUAAUACGUAGGGUGCAAGCGUUGUCCGGAAUUAUUGGGCGUAAAGAGCUCGUAGGCGGUUUGUCGCGUCUGCUGUGAAAACCCGAGGCUCAACCUCGGGCCUGCAGUGGGUACGGGCAGACUAGAGUGCGGUAGGGGAGAUUGGAAUUCCUGGUGUAGCGGUGGAAUGCGCAGAUAUCAGGAGGAACACCAAUGGCGAGGGCAGAUCUCUGGGCAUCUACUGACGCUGAGGAGCGAAAGCAUGGGGAGCGAACAGGAUUAGAUACCCCGG